This 1063-nucleotide ribosomal RNA is filed under the name Listeria welshimeri. RNAcentral's name for it is "partial 23S ribosomal RNA". It matches the Rfam family "Bacterial large subunit ribosomal RNA", at positions 158 to 1216 of the family's 2925-position model. Lineage: Bacteria; Bacillati; Bacillota; Bacilli; Caryophanales; Listeriaceae. The record is from RNAcentral.
GUGAAUACAUAGCGUGAGGAAGGCAGACCCAGGGAACUGAAACAUCUAAGUACCUGGAGGAAGAGAAAGAAAAAUCGAUUUCCUGAGUAGCGGCGAGCGAAACGGAAAGAGCCCAAACCAAGAAGCUUGCUUCUUGGGGUUGUAGGACACUCUAUACGGAGUUACAAAAGAAAGUUAUAAAUGAAGCGGUCUGGAAAGGCCCGCCAAAGACGGUAACAGCCCGGUAGUUGAAAUAGCUUUCCCUCCAGAGUGGAUCCUGAGUACGGCGGAACACGUGAAAUUCCGUCGGAAUCCGGGAGGACCAUCUCCCAAGGCUAAAUACUCCCUAGUGACCGAUAGUGAACCAGUACCGUGAGGGAAAGGUGAAAAGCACCCCGGAAGGGGAGUGAAACAGUUCCUGAAACCGUGUGCCUACAAGUAGUUAGAGCCCGUUAAUGGGUGAUAGCGUGCCUUUUGUAGAAUGAACCGGCGAGUUACGAUUUGUUGCAAGGUUAAGCGGAAAAAGCGGAGCCGUAGCGAAAGCGAGUCUGAAUAGGGCGCAUAAGUAACAGGUCGUAGACCCGAAACCAGGUGAUCUACCCAUGUCCAGGAUGAAGGUAAGGUAAUACUUACUGGAGGUCCGAACCCACGCACGUUGAAAAGUGCGGGGAUGAGGUGUGGGUAGCGGAGAAAUUCCAAUCGAACUUGGAGAUAGCUGGUUCUCUCCGAAAUAGCUUUAGGGCUAGCCUCGAGGUAAAGAGUCAUGGAGGUAGAGCACUGUUUGGACUAGGGGCCCUUCUCGGGUUACCGAAUUCAGAUAAACUCCGAAUGCCAUGUACUUAUACUCGGGAGUCAGACUGCGAGUGAUAAGAUCCGUAGUCGAAAGGGAAACAGCCCAGACCACCAGUUAAGGUCCCCAAAUAUAUGUUAAGUGGAAAAGGAUGUGGGGUUGCUUAGACAACCAGGAUGUUGGCUUAGAAGCAGCCACCAUUGAAAGAGUGCGUAAUAGCUCACUGGUCGAGUGACCCCGCGCCGAAAAUGUACCGGGGCUAAACAUAUUACCGAAACUGUGGAUGAACCUCUU